GUGGGUGAUUUUAUAAUUGCUUGCAAAAUAUUAAGCCGCCUGUGAGGUGGUUGGGAGGGUAAUUGAUUUUUAUUAAUUACUAUUACUAACCCCCCCAUGGGUCGUAACAUACAUAUAAAUGCGUGUUGUGUAGACAGUGUGUGAUUAUUAAACAAAUUAUUGACAACUUUUAACAAUGGAUCUCUAGGCUCUUGCAGCGAUGAAGAACGCAGCAAAAUGCGAAACGUGAUGCGAUUUGCAUGAAUCUGUGAGUCAUCUAAUCUUUGAACGCGAAUGGCACUGUUGCGCAAGUGACAGUAUGUCUGUUUGAGAAUCGCAAAACCCGAUCAACUCUAGUUAAGAGUUGGAAUUGACCUCAUGUGCAGUUAUUAAUGUAUAUUUGGUUUAAAUGGAUCAAGUUGAUGAGUCCCCCAGUGACGCUCAAUGUGUGCUAGCGAGACAGUCGUCCCGAUGUCACAUUUCGAGUCAUUGCAGGAUUCUAUCCACAACUCACAUUAAUAUUUUAAUAUCGUUUACGAUCUCAAAUCAGGCAAGAUUACCCGCUGAACUUAAGCAUAUCAAUAAGCGGAGGAA
Molecule: ribosomal RNA, 573 nt
Filed under: uncultured Mucorales
Lineage: Eukaryota; Fungi; Mucoromycota; Mucoromycetes; Mucorales
Description: eukaryotic LSU rRNA
Rfam family: 5.8S ribosomal RNA (bases 165-316)
Source: RNAcentral